Molecule: ribosomal RNA, 316 nt
Filed under: uncultured bacterium
Lineage: Bacteria
Description: bacterial SSU rRNA
Rfam family: Bacterial small subunit ribosomal RNA
Source: RNAcentral
GAUAAACGCUGGCGGCGCACAUAAGACAUGCAAGUCGAACGGACUUAACUCAUUCUUUACGAUUGAGAGCGGUUAGUGGCGGACUGGUGAGUAACACGUAAGCAACCUGCCUAUUAGAGGGGAAUAACAGUGAGAAAUCAUUGCUAAUACCGCAUAUGCUCACAGUACCACAUGGUACAGUGAGGAAAGGAGUAAUCCGCUAAUAGAUGGACUUGCGUCUGAUUAGCUAGUUGGUGGGGUAACGGCCUACCAAGGCGACGAUCAGUAGCCGGACUGAGAGGUUGAACGGCCACAUUGGGACUGAGAUACGGCCCAG